CGUAGGUGAACCUGCGGAGGGAUCAUUACACAAAUAUGAAGGCGGGCUGGAACCUCUCGGGGUUACAGCCUUGCUGAAUUAUUCACCCUUGUCUUUUGCGUACUUCUUGUUUCCUUGGUGGGUUCGCCCACCACUAGGACAAACAUAAACCUUUUGUAAUUGCAAUCAGCGUCAGUAACAAAUUAAUAAUUACAACUUUCAACAACGGAUCUCUUGGUUCUGGCAUCGAUGAAGAACGCAGCGAAAUGCGAUAAGUAGUGUGAAUUGCAGAAUUCAGUGAAUCAUCGAAUCUUUGAACGCACAUUGCGCCCUUUGGUAUUCCAAAGGGCAUGCCUGUUCGAGCGUCAUUUGUACCCUCAAGCUUUGCUUGGUGUUGGGCGUCUUGUCUCUAGCUUUGCUGGAGACUCGCCUUAAAGUAAUUGGCAGCCGGCCUACUGGUUUCGGAGCGCAGCACAAGUCGCACUCUCUAUCAGCAAAGGUCUAGCAUCCAUUAAGCCUUUUUUUCAACUUUUGACCUCGGAUCAGGUAGGGAUACCCGCUGAACUUAAGCAUAUCAAUAAGCGGAGGAAAAGAAACCAACAGGGAUUGCCCUAGUAACGGCGAGUGAAGCGGCAACAGCUCAAAUUUGAAAUCUGGCUCUUUUAGAGUCCGAGUUGUAAUUUGCAGAGGGCGCUUUGGCUUUGGCAGCGGUCCAAGUUCCUUGGAACAGGACGUCAUAGAGGGUGAGAAUCC
RNAcentral lists this ribosomal RNA (732 nucleotides) under uncultured Alternaria. RNAcentral describes it as "eukaryotic LSU rRNA". The stretch from base 512 to 732 matches the Rfam family "Eukaryotic large subunit ribosomal RNA", at positions 1 to 221 of the family's 3401-position model. Lineage: Eukaryota; Fungi; Ascomycota; Dothideomycetes; Pleosporales; Pleosporaceae. The record is from RNAcentral.